This 457-nucleotide long non-coding RNA is filed under the name Homo sapiens (human). RNAcentral describes it as "HSALNT0013654". The record is from RNAcentral. Lineage: Eukaryota; Metazoa; Chordata; Mammalia; Primates; Hominidae.
UCCUUAUUUUAAAUACAAUGCCUGUACCACAACAUUGGUAACUGGGUGCCUGCUUUUCCCUUGUGUCACUUUCCCACCUUGACUCCCGGCUUCAAACUCUACUUCCUGUCUUGCUCUUCUCAAUUCCAGAGAUUAAAAUCCUGGCCCUGAACUGCAGUCCUCUGGUUAGGUUCCUGCUUCCAGCCAUCUCUAAUGCCACCUGCCAUCCUGCUUGGCUUUUUUGGGGGCUCUGCACUGCCCACAUGCCUGGUUAUUUACCUCCUGCAUCUCCCUGGACAUCGUUUUGUUACCUACUACUGGAGCCAGUCCCAACCUGAUAGACUGAUCAGGUUUGGAGGUUUUAACCUUCUCUUGGUUGAUGAGCAUCAGAAACCACCCCAGAGAAGCUAUACAUGGUAAGGGCCCUAAAUUCCCAAGGGAGCAUAAACAGGGUGUCUUAGAGUUUUGGUUCAGUUCU